CGGCCUUGAAAUACCACCCUUUAAUGUUUGAUGUUCUAACGUGGACCCGUGAUCCGGGUUGCGGACAGUGUCUGGUGGGUAGUUUGACUGGGGCGGUCUCCUCCUAAAGAGUAACGGAGGAGCACGAAGGUUGGCUAAUCCUGGUCGGACAUCAGGAGGUUAGUGCAAUGGCAUAAGCCAGCUUGACUGCGAGCGUGACGGCGCGAGCAGGUGCGAAAGCAGGUCAUAGUGAUCCGGUGGUUCUGAAUGGAAGGGCCAUCGCUCAACGGAUAAAAGGUACUCCGGGGAUAACAGGCUGAUACCGCCCAAGAGUUCAUAUCGACGGCGGUGUUUGGCACCUCGAUGUCGGCUCAUCACAUCCUGGGGCUGAAGUAGGUCCCAAGGGUAUGGCUGUUCGCCAUUUAAAGUGGUACGCGAGCUGGGUUUAGAACGUCGUGAGACAGUUCGGUCCCUAUCUGCCGUGGGCGCUGGAGAACUGAGGGGGGCUGCUCCUAGUACGAGAGGACCGGAGUGGACGCAUCACUGGUGUUCGGGUUGUCAUGCCAAUGGCACUGCCCGGUAGCUAAAUGCGGAAGAGAUAAGUGCUGAAAGCAUCUAAGCACGAAACUUGCCCCGAGAUGAGU
RNAcentral lists this ribosomal RNA (623 nucleotides) under Shigella sonnei. Its description in RNAcentral is "partial 23S ribosomal RNA". It matches the Rfam family "Bacterial large subunit ribosomal RNA", at positions 2187 to 2809 of the family's 2925-position model. Lineage: Bacteria; Pseudomonadati; Pseudomonadota; Gammaproteobacteria; Enterobacterales; Enterobacteriaceae. The record is from RNAcentral.